CUGCUGCCUCCCGUAGGAGUCUGGGCCGUGUCUCAGUCCCAAUGUGGCCGGCCACCCUCUCAGGUCGGCUACUGAUCGUCGCCUUGGUGGGCUUUUAUCUCACCAACUAGCUAAUCAGACGCGGAUCCAUCCCAUACCACCGGAGUUUUUCACACAAGGCCAUGCAGCCUCGUGCGCUUAUGCGGUAUUAGCAGCCGUUUCCGGCUGUUAUCCCCCGGUAUGGGGCAGGUUAUCCACGCGUUACUCACCCG
This 251-nucleotide ribosomal RNA is filed under the name uncultured bacterium. Its description in RNAcentral is "partial 16S ribosomal RNA". The record is from RNAcentral.